GAAUUACUGGAAACCGGAGCUAAUACCGGAUAAUAUAUUGAACCGCAUGGUUCAAUAGUGAAAGACGGUUUUGCUGUCACUUAUAGAUGGAUCCGCGCUGCAUUAGCUAGUUGGUAAGGUAACGGCUUACCAAGGCAACGAUGCGUAGCCGACCUGAGAGGGUGAUCGGCCACACUGGAACUGAGACACGGUCCAGACUCCUACGGGAGGCAGCAGAG
RNAcentral lists this ribosomal RNA (218 nucleotides) under uncultured Staphylococcus sp. RNAcentral's name for it is "partial 16S ribosomal RNA". It matches the Rfam family "Bacterial small subunit ribosomal RNA", at positions 144 to 354 of the family's 1533-position model. The record is from RNAcentral. Lineage: Bacteria; Bacillati; Bacillota; Bacilli; Caryophanales; Staphylococcaceae.